AAUUGUCAAUGUCAUUCUCAUUUUAUUAAUUAGAUAAUGUCAUUGAAUUAAUUUACUGAUUUUGUAUGUUUUCUGUUUACCUUCAGUAUUUUUUGAACCGAAUUAUAAUUUUUCAAACCACAGCUAUAAUAUAAAUAAAACUUGCACGAAGUUAAAUUCGAAAUUCGAAUAAUGUUGACCCUGAACCGGAAAAAUUGCAAGUUUAUUUCAGCUCUCAGAUGUAAAUACAAGAGGACAUUUACGCUGCAUUAAUCAAUUUAUCCAGCGUCAUCCCAAGUUUGUCAAAAUUGCUGGAAAACGACUGAUAAAGCAGCAUCUUGCUCAACUGAAGAACUGAAAAUAAUUAUGUAAUAGCGACAAACACUCCAAAUCAAUGUUGUUUUCCUCGCUGUAAUAAUUCCAACAGGCUAACUGUUAUGAACUAUAUAGGUAGGUACAUCUAUUUUGUCAAUUUAAUUAUUAUGUGCCUCAUUAGUAUUGUUUUCUCUUACAAUCAAUAUACAAUACAAUCUUGAACCAUUUUACAAAUUGAAGAUUUUGCUUCAUUAUUAAAAAUAAUAUGAGUAUGUAUAAUAAUCAUUUAGAUUAAGAAAAUAUUUAACACACACCAUACAGUUUAUCUAUGUCUUGGCUUAACAGAAACAUUUAAAUUAAAUUAUAAAACACAAACAACAGUCGGGACAAUUCAUUUAUUUACAGUGCUUGUAAACUAAGCCUUGGUUUUGCAAACAAGCACUUUUGAAAUAAUAAGGUUGACUAUUUGUCCAUCUCCAGACAGACAGACAGACCUCAUCACCAGAUAGGCAGACAAGUUCUGCUGAGGAGAGUCAGCAAGAAACUCAACAGUCACUCUUUUUUAGAAAAGUAAUACAAUAUUAUAAUUUACAAUUGUUAACAUCAUUACAAUAAUUUCUUCUAGUAGAAGCUGAUCCAAUGGCCUCCAAGUAGUGGCGUGCACUUCAUACAUGCAUUAAAGUACUGCAUAUCCUAAGAGUUGUCUUCAUUAGUAAAUACAGAUUUUUCCACUUUGCUUAAUUUUAUUACUAGUGCAUACCCUGAUCGACAACCAUAUGCACGCCACUGCCUGGUUGGUUGGUUGUUUCAUUUAUUGAUUUAUUUGUUAAGCUUGUUGGUUACAUAAAACAAUAAAUCUAUUCAUGUACAGCUUUAAUGUUACUUCAUCUCCGGUGUACUUUUUGAGCAGUGAGAGUGAUAAAAUAAAAUAUUUUUUUUUAUG
Long non-coding RNA from Bicyclus anynana (squinting bush brown), 1237 nucleotides. RefSeq lists it as uncharacterized. Lineage: Eukaryota; Metazoa; Arthropoda; Insecta; Lepidoptera; Nymphalidae. The record is from RefSeq and is a predicted model, not a curated record. The transcript is spliced from 2 exons.